Molecule: ribosomal RNA, 228 nt
Filed under: uncultured bacterium
Lineage: Bacteria
Description: partial 16S ribosomal RNA
Rfam family: Bacterial small subunit ribosomal RNA
Source: RNAcentral
AACGAACGCUGGCGGCGCGCCUAAUACAUGCAAGUCGAGCGAGAAGACGUAGCAAUACGUUUGUAAAGCGGCGAACGGGUGAGGAAUACAUGGGUAACCUACCCUCGAGUGGGGAAUAACUAGCCGAAAGGUUAGCUAAUACCGCGUACGCUCCUUGGACUUCGGUUCAGGGAGGAAAGCGAUACCGUGGGUAUCGCGCUCUUGGAUGGGCUCAUGUCCUAUCAGCUU